Molecule: long non-coding RNA, 368 nt
Filed under: Lathyrus oleraceus (garden pea)
Lineage: Eukaryota; Viridiplantae; Streptophyta; Magnoliopsida; Fabales; Fabaceae
Description: Pisum sativum (pea) long non-coding RNA (PSAT_LNC029939)
Source: RNAcentral
GAUUUUAAUCUAUGGAUUCAACGAUUUCCAUGUUGUUCAUCCAUGAUUAUUUUUAUCGAUAUAUUGAUAGUAUUUCGCCGCGUUUCGGUUAAUCGCAUAUGACAUUUCAAUUAUUGUCAACAUGCGCAUACCGGCUUUGAGCACAUUAUUUAGGUUUUAUGUGUCCCUCAAUUUUCAUCCGUACAAAUCCCGAUUUUACCUUUUUUUCGAUUUAAUUUUUAAGUGUGUUGUAGAUAUGAUUUGUUGUGUUAUUUUCUUCACAUGGCUUACUCUUGGGCCUUCUUACAAUGAGACAGUUCCUUUGCACUUACACUCAUACAUUGCAUUAUUUAUUGUUUGGACCCGAUUUAAUCAUUCCAAUACUUUGA